UAGAGAAGAGGAACCACCCAGUUAACCAUUCCGAACCUGGAAGUCAAGCUCUUCAUCGCUGAUAAUACUGCUCUUUUCAAGAGUGGGAAUGUAGGUC
This 97-nucleotide ribosomal RNA is filed under the name Helicobacter pylori UM067. Lineage: Bacteria; Pseudomonadati; Campylobacterota; Epsilonproteobacteria; Campylobacterales; Helicobacteraceae. The record is from RNAcentral.